AGCACCAACACCCAGUGGCGUCUCGUCCUAAGGUGCACUUGGUGCACUGCACAGUCAAAGAUUUCAAACUAACAAAUUAAAUAUAUAUAUUAUAAUUCUCAAUACUUC
Molecule: long non-coding RNA, 108 nt
Organism: Aedes aegypti (yellow fever mosquito)
Lineage: Eukaryota; Metazoa; Arthropoda; Insecta; Diptera; Culicidae
Exons: 2
Source: RefSeq, a predicted model, not a curated record